RNAcentral lists this ribosomal RNA (301 nucleotides) under uncultured bacterium. RNAcentral describes it as "partial 16S ribosomal RNA". It matches the Rfam family "Bacterial small subunit ribosomal RNA", at positions 509 to 807 of the family's 1533-position model. The record is from RNAcentral.
CAGCAGCCGCGGUAAUACGUAGGUGGCAAGCGUUGUCCGGAAUUAUUGGGCGUAAAGGGCUCGCAGGCGGUUUCUUAAGUCUGAUGUGAAAGCCCCCGGCUCAACCGGGGAGGGUCAUUGGAAACCGGGAAACUUGAGUGCAGAAGAGGAGAGUGGAAUUCCACGUGUAGCGGUGAAAUGCGUAGAGAUGUGGAGGAACACCAGUGGCGAAGGCGACUCUCUGGUCUGUAACUGACGCUGAGGAGCGAAAGCGUGGGGAGCGAACAGGAUUAGAUACCCCGGUAGUCCCUGUCUCUUAUAC